Long non-coding RNA from Dioscorea cayenensis subsp. rotundata (Guinea yam), 180 nucleotides. RefSeq lists it as uncharacterized. The record is from RefSeq and is a predicted model, not a curated record. The transcript has 3 exons. Lineage: Eukaryota; Viridiplantae; Streptophyta; Magnoliopsida; Dioscoreales; Dioscoreaceae.
AAAAUAUACUCAUACCUCUGGAUCGAAGAGCUUUGCUAGAAAGGAAAAGGAAAUGGAGGUUAACAGUGGAAGAAAAGUAGGAUGCCUCCAAUUUUUUAAAGCAACUCAUACCAAAAAGGAUGGUUCUCACAUGAAUGUGGAAACUGAAGAAAUUAUGGAUAAAGCCAAUGAGAAGUUAGC